CGGAGGGUGCAAGCGUUAUCCGGAUUCACUGGGUUUAAAGGGUGCGUAGGUGGGAAUGUAAGUCAGUGGUGAAAUCUCCGUGCUUAACAUGGAAACUGCCAUUGAUACUAUGUUUCUUGAAUUUUCUGGAGGUAAGCGGAAUAUGUCAUGUAGCGGUGAAAUGCUUAGAUAUGACAUAGAACACCAAUUGCGAAGGCAGCUUACUACAGGGAUAUUGACACUGAGGCACGAAAGCGUGGGGGAUCAAACAGGAUUAGAUACCCUGGUAGUCCACGCCCUAAACGAUGGAUACUCGACAUUUGUGAUACACAAUAAGUGUCUGAGCGAAAGCAUUAAGUAUCCCACCUGGGAAGUACGACCGCAAGGUUG
RNAcentral lists this ribosomal RNA (369 nucleotides) under uncultured organism. Its description in RNAcentral is "bacterial SSU rRNA". It matches the Rfam family "Bacterial small subunit ribosomal RNA", at positions 526 to 896 of the family's 1533-position model. The record is from RNAcentral.